This 359-nucleotide ribosomal RNA is filed under the name uncultured bacterium. Its description in RNAcentral is "bacterial SSU rRNA". It matches the Rfam family "Bacterial small subunit ribosomal RNA", at positions 8 to 350 of the family's 1533-position model. The record is from RNAcentral.
AGAGUUUGAUCAUGGCUCAGGAUGAACGCUAGCUACAGGCUUAACACAUGCAAGUCGAGGGGAAACGACAUCGAAAGCUUGCUUUUGAUGGGCGUCGACCGGCGCACGGGUGAGUAACGCGUAUCCAACCUGCCCACCACUUGGGGAUAACCUUGCGAAAGUAAGACUAAUACCCAAUGACGUCUCUAGAAGACAUCUGAAGGAGAUUAAAGAUUUAUCGGUGAUGGAUGGGGAUGCGUCUGAUUAGCUUUUGGGGGGGGGCGGGUAACGGCCGACCAAGGCGACGAUCAGUAGGGGUUCUGAGAGGAAGGUCCCCCGACAUUGGAACUGAGACACGGUCCAAACUCCUACGGGAGGCA